UACGGAGGGUGCAAGCGUUAAUCGGAAUUACUGGGCGUAAAGCGCACGCAGGCGGUCUGUCAAGUCGGAUGUGAAAUCCCCGGGCUCAACCUGGGAACUGCAUCCGAAACUGGCAGGCUAGAGUCUUGUAGAGGGAGGUGGAAUUCCGGGUGUAGUGGUGAAAUGCGUAGAUAUCCGGAGGAACACCAGUGGCGAAGGCGGCCUCCUGGCCAAAGACUGACGCUCAGGUGCGAAAGCGUGGGGAGCAAACAGG
RNAcentral lists this unclassified non-coding RNA (253 nucleotides) under uncultured Enterobacteriaceae bacterium. RNAcentral's name for it is "contains 16S-23S intergenic spacer region". It matches the Rfam family "Bacterial small subunit ribosomal RNA", at positions 524 to 776 of the family's 1533-position model. The record is from RNAcentral. Lineage: Bacteria; Pseudomonadati; Pseudomonadota; Gammaproteobacteria; Enterobacterales; Enterobacteriaceae.